CAAACCGUCGGACCCGCAGGUUACGCGGUCGCAACUAAAUUCAGAUUUUUCACCCCGAGGAUUCAAUUUUCUUCCGCGUGUGAUGUACGUACAAAACGACUCGUUUCUCAUCGACACGGUGAGGAGAGGAGAAGAUGGAAGAGAUGGAGGCGAGGAUAUUUGAGGGAGGGAAGCAGAAAAUAUAAAAUUCUGGAUUCCCUGAGAAAAAAUUCGUUCUCCAGUUUUUCAUCCGUUCAAAUUUUUUAUUCCUUGGCGUACGUUUCGACUGUAAGCACAUCGCAUCCUGUCCCCACGGCAACCGAUGUGAAGUAAAAUGCUGCUAUUGCUUCAAGAGGAGGUGGUAUACGUGGGUGGGUAUGCCUGCACCGGGUCGUACGUGCGUACGCUAAUAACGGAAGUUUCGAGGUCAUUUCUGAAAGGAAAGAGUAGAAAAAAAAAAGGAGUAGAAGUGGAAGGAAAAAAAUGAAACAUUUAAAUAAAUAAAUGUAGGAGCGAAAAAGCAAAAUUAUUUCACGAAACGUAUAUCACG
RNAcentral lists this unclassified non-coding RNA (529 nucleotides) under Athalia rosae (coleseed sawfly). RNAcentral describes it as "misc RNA ENSAEAG00005009416.1". Lineage: Eukaryota; Metazoa; Arthropoda; Insecta; Hymenoptera; Athaliidae. The record is from RNAcentral.